GACGUAGGGCGCGAGCGUUGUCCGGAUUUAUUGGGCGUAAAGAGCUCGUAGGCGGCUUGUCGCGUCGUCCGUGAAAACCCACAGCUCAACUGUGGGCUUGCGGUCGAUACGGGCAGGCUAGAGUUCGGUAGGAGAGACUGGAAUUCCUGGUGUAGCGGUGAAAUGCGCAGAUAUCAGGAGGAACACCGGUGGCGAAGGCGGGUCUCUGGGCCGAUACUGACGCUGAGGAGCGAAAGCGUGGGGAGCGAACAGG
This 253-nucleotide ribosomal RNA is filed under the name uncultured bacterium. Its description in RNAcentral is "partial 16S ribosomal RNA". It matches the Rfam family "Bacterial small subunit ribosomal RNA", at positions 524 to 776 of the family's 1533-position model. The record is from RNAcentral.